This 373-nucleotide unclassified non-coding RNA is filed under the name soil metagenome. RNAcentral's name for it is "partial contains 5.8S ribosomal RNA, internal transcribed spacer 2, and large subunit ribosomal RNA". The stretch from base 1 to 120 matches the Rfam family "5.8S ribosomal RNA", at positions 35 to 154 of the family's 154-position model. The record is from RNAcentral.
GAUGAAGAACGUAGCGAAAUGCGAUAAGUAAUGUGAAUUGCAGAAUUCAGUGAAUCAUCGAAUCUUUGAACGCACAUUGCGCCCGCCAGUAUUCUGGCGGGCAUGCCUGUUCGAGCGUCAUUACAACCCUCAAGCCCCCCGGCUUGGUGUUGGGGACCGACCACCGGUGCCCUGCUGCUUCCGCGGCAGGCGCACCCGGCCGCCCCCGAAAUGAAUUGGCGGCCCCGUCGCGGCCUCCCUCUGCGUAGUAGCACACAUCUCGCAGCUGGAGCGCGGCGCGGCCACUGCCGUAAAACGCACCAACUUUUUUUACAGUUGACCUCGAAUCAGGUAGGAAUACCCGCUGAACUUAAGCAUAUCAAUAAGCGGAGGA